Long non-coding RNA from Malaclemys terrapin pileata, 270 nucleotides. RefSeq lists it as uncharacterized. The record is from RefSeq and is a predicted model, not a curated record. Lineage: Eukaryota; Metazoa; Chordata; Testudines; Emydidae. The transcript has 3 exons.
AAAAGGCGAGCGCUUUGUUGCCUGGCCGGAAAUGUGAGAAGUGUAGCAAUGGAGACCACAGGACAGAUGAGGUGGUACGGAGGGAGGAGAGAGCCUGUGAGUCCCAUGCCGGGGCUACCGUUGAUGUGGGAAGUCUCUGGACAGAGAUGGUAUGGUCUAGGACGGAUUAAAUUGGCUCGCCUAUAUUCAAGUCUUUCAUCUGCAAAAAAUUGCAGACUCCACCAAUCCCACAAUCAAAUAUCUUGCAGCAGAGUGUGAACUAGAAGAGGA